UAAAGGUUAAGACAAAGAAGUAGCUGCUAACUAACUUCUAAAGCGGUUAAAUUCCGUUUACCUUUUG
Molecule: transfer RNA, 67 nt
Filed under: Empoascanara quarta
Lineage: Eukaryota; Metazoa; Arthropoda; Insecta; Hemiptera; Cicadellidae
Description: tRNA-Ser
Source: RNAcentral